Molecule: long non-coding RNA, 1266 nt
Filed under: Zea mays
Lineage: Eukaryota; Viridiplantae; Streptophyta; Magnoliopsida; Poales; Poaceae
Description: long non-coding RNA (ZMAY_LNC002542)
Source: RNAcentral
AGCUGCUUCUCGUGAGUACUCCUUUUUUCUUUCAUUCUUGCCUUCGCAUCCACCACUCGCGCCUUGCUGUAGCUUAGUCGUACGGCAUAGUUUGUUGUAUGAACACCAGAAGAAGAAGGUCAUGAACAGCAACACGUACACCUUCACGACCACCAUCUUCCAUAUAUGCUGGUUUGAGUGGAAAGGAUGAAUAAUUUGCACGGUUGCAGUGAAUACCGGAGGCGAGGGUCGAGUACUGUGUAUGCUGAUUAUAAGGAGCUAUUUAAUCAUUCUCAUGCCCUCCUUCGCAACCACAUAGAAAGGUCCAUCGGUGUAUUGAAGAAGCGAUUUCCCAUCCUCAAAGUGGGCACCUUUUAUCCCAUAGAGACUCAGGUUUUGAUUCCAUCAGCAGCAGUUUCAUUUCAUAACAUGAUUAGAGGUUUAAAUGGUGAAGAUGGAUGGUUGGAUCAACACCCAACUAACAUCAAUUCUAGUCAAUUUGUUGAAUUACCAGAGGUAGUUAUAUAUAAGCACUCAAUUUCUACAACAUUUUUACUUGCUUAAAUCUGCUAUUUCAGUUUUUUUUCUAGUAAAAUCUGAUAUUUAGUUACCUCUAUUAUUUAAUUGCUUAAAUCUGCUAUUUCAAUUUUGUUUCUAGUAAAAUCUGCCGCUAUUUGAGUUCAGCUAUUUAUGUUUACAUAAGCAAGUGCUUCAUAAACAUCUAAAUCCACACCUUUGUUCCAGUUCAGCAAUGUCUUCUCUUUAUUACAGAUGUGCUUAUCCAAUUCAGUUUUCAGAGUAUGUUGACAAUCUGAAUUUAGUUCAAGCAAUACCUUCUCUUUAUUACAUAUGUUUAAGCAGGUGCUUCAUAAACAUCUGAAUUCAGUUCAUCAAUGUCUUUUCUUUAUUACUGAAUAUUGAAAUGAAUAUAAAGGCUUUCAUGUCCCCAAAUACAGAGGGUCUCCAAAUUAGAUAUUGAACUGAAUAUAGAGGAAUUGAAUAUAUAUACAUUUGUCUAAGUUUUCUCAUCAACAGGUGAUACACAAGGGAUUUUCAUCAACAAGUGGUCGCCAGAAGAACUGAAACAUCAAGAUGGCGUUUGUUUUUAGGUCAUGCCAUUCAGGAGAUGAUGCUAAGCUAAAUAAUCACAUCUAUGUGUACACUGAGACUGUUUUAUUAUGAGACUGUGUUUUAUUAUGAUGUACUGAGACUAUGUUUGUGUACACUGAGACUGUUUUAUUAUGAUGCACUGAGACUGUUUUAUUAAGCAGUGUGGAGUUCUCAGCU